This 253-nucleotide ribosomal RNA is filed under the name uncultured bacterium. RNAcentral describes it as "partial 16S ribosomal RNA". It matches the Rfam family "Bacterial small subunit ribosomal RNA", at positions 524 to 776 of the family's 1533-position model. The record is from RNAcentral.
UACGUAGGGGGCAAGCGUUGCUCGGUAUCACUGGGCUUAAAGGGCGCGUAGGCGGUGCGGUACGGUUUCGGUGAAAUCCCUCGGCCCAACCGAGGAACAGCCGGGGCUACGGCCGCGCUAGACGGCAUCAGGGGACAGUGGAACUCCCGGUGGAGCGGUGAAAUGCGUAGAUAUCGGGAGGAACGCCGGUGGCGAAAGCGACUGUCUGGGGUGCCUGUGACGCUGAGGCGCGAAAGCCAGGGGAUCAAACGGG